CCUACGGGGGGCAGCAGUGGGGAAUAUUGGACAAUGGGCGAAAGCCUGAUCCAGCCAUGCCGCGUGUGUGAAGAAGGCCUUCGGGUUGUAAAGCACUUUCAGUGGGGAAGAAAGCCUUGGGGCUAAUACCCUCGAGGAAGGACAUCACCCACAGAAGAAGCACCGGCUAACUCCGUGCCACAGCCGCGGUAAUACGGAGGGGUGCGAGCGUUAAUCGGAAUUACUGGGCGUAAAGCGCGCGUAGGCGGUCUGAUAAGCCGGUUGUGAAAGCCCCGGGCUCAACCUGGGAACGGCAUCCGGAACUGUCAGGCUAGAGUGCAGGAGAGGAAGGUAGAAUUCCCGGUGUAGCGGUGAAAUGCGUAGAGAUCGGGAGGAAUACCAGUGGCGAAGGCGGCCUUCUGGACUGACACUGACGCUGAGGUGCGAAAGCGUGGGUAGCAAACAGGAUUAGAUACCCUGGUAGUC
RNAcentral lists this ribosomal RNA (465 nucleotides) under Vreelandella stevensii. Its description in RNAcentral is "partial 16S ribosomal RNA". It matches the Rfam family "Bacterial small subunit ribosomal RNA", at positions 338 to 795 of the family's 1533-position model. Lineage: Bacteria; Pseudomonadati; Pseudomonadota; Gammaproteobacteria; Oceanospirillales; Halomonadaceae. The record is from RNAcentral.